Molecule: ribosomal RNA, 433 nt
Filed under: uncultured bacterium
Lineage: Bacteria
Description: partial 16S ribosomal RNA
Rfam family: Bacterial small subunit ribosomal RNA
Source: RNAcentral
AACGAACGCUGGCGGCAUGCCUAACACAUGCAAGUCGAACGAGACCUUCGGGUCUAGUGGCGCACGGGUGCGUAACGCGUGGGAACCUGACCUUAGGUUCGGAAUAACUCCCCGAAAGGGGUGCUAAUACCGGAUAAUGUCCUCGGACCAAAGAUUUAUCGCCUUUGGAUGGGCCCGCGUUGGAUUAGCUAGUUGGUAGGGUAAAAGCCUACCAAGGCGACGAUCCAUAGCUGGUCUGAGAGGAUGAUCAGCCACACUGGGACUGAGACACGGCCCAGACUCCUACGGGAGGCAGCAGUGGGGAAUAUUGGACAAUGGGCGAAAGCCUGAUCCAGCAAUGCCGCGUGAGUGAUGAGGGCCUUAGGGUAGUAAAGCUCUUUUACCCGGGAUGAUAAUGACAGUACCGGGAGAAUAAGCUCCGGCUAACUCCGUG